CCCUUAGAUGUUCUGGGCCGCACGCGUGCUACACUGAGUGGAUCAGCGGGUCAGGUUGCGCGAAAGCGUUUCCUAAUCUUUAAAUCCGCUCGUGAUGGGGAUUGACGGUUGCAAUUUUCUGUCAUGAACGAGGAAUACCUUGUAAGCGCGGGUCAUCAUCCCGCGCUGAAUACGUCCCUGCCCUUUGUACACACCGCCCGUCGCUCCUACCGAUUGAGUGGUCCGGUGAGGCUUUGGGAUCUGAGCAAAGAGAGCGUUUCGCUCGUUUUGCUCGGAAAACUCAGUCGAACCUUAUCAUUUAGAGGAAGGAGAAGUCGUAACA
This 322-nucleotide ribosomal RNA is filed under the name uncultured eukaryote. RNAcentral's name for it is "partial 18S ribosomal RNA". It matches the Rfam family "Eukaryotic small subunit ribosomal RNA", at positions 1470 to 1796 of the family's 1831-position model. The record is from RNAcentral.